This 819-nucleotide ribosomal RNA is filed under the name uncultured bacterium. RNAcentral's name for it is "bacterial SSU rRNA". It matches the Rfam family "Bacterial small subunit ribosomal RNA", at positions 9 to 873 of the family's 1533-position model. The record is from RNAcentral.
AGGGUUUGAUCAUGGCUCAGAACGUACGCUGGCGGCACGCCUAACACAUGCAAGUCGAACGAAGUAGCAAUACUUAGUGGCAGACGGGUGAGUAACAUGUAGGUAUCUACCCUUUGGCCUGGAAUAACACGAGGAAACUUGUGCUAAUACCGGAUAAGUCUUUACGGAGAAAGCUUUAUGCACCAUUGGAUGAGCCUGCACUUGAUUAGUUUGUUGGUGGGGUAAUGGCCUACCAAGACUGUGAUCAAUAGCUGAUUUGAGAGGAUGAUCAGCCACAUUGGGACUGAGACACGGCCCAAACUCCUACGGGAGGCAGCAGUGGGGAAUCUUGCACAAUGGAGGAAACUCUGAUGCAGCGAUGCCGCGUGAGUGAAGAAGGCCCUUGGGUUGUAAAGCUCUUUCGUCGGGGAAGAAAAUGACUGUACCCGAAUAAGAAGGUCCGGCUAACUUCGUGCCAGCAGCCGCGGUAAUACGAAGGGACCUAGCGUAGUUCGGAAUUACUGGGCUUAAAGAGUUCGUAGGUGGUUGAAAAAGUUGGUGGUGAAAUCCCAGAGCUUAACUCUGGAACUGCCAUCAAAACUUUUCAGCUAGAGUAUGAUAGAGGAAAGCAGAAUUUCUAGUGUAGAGGUGAAAUUCGUAGAUAUUAGAAAGAAUACCAAUUGCGAAGGCAGCUUUCUGGAUCAUUACUGACACUGAGGAACGAAAGCAUGGGUAGCGAAGAGGAUUAGAUACCCUCGUAGUCCAUGCCGUAAACGAUGUGUGUUAGACGUUGGAAAUUUAUUUUCAGUGUCGCAGCGAAAGCGAUAAACACACCGCCUG